RNAcentral lists this ribosomal RNA (319 nucleotides) under uncultured bacterium. RNAcentral's name for it is "bacterial SSU rRNA". It matches the Rfam family "Bacterial small subunit ribosomal RNA", at positions 86 to 422 of the family's 1533-position model. The record is from RNAcentral.
GCAAGGGGAGCGGCAGACGGGAGAGUAACACGUGGGAACGUACCCUUUGGUUCGGAACAACCCAGGGAAACUUGGGCUAAUACCGAAUAAGCCCUUACGGGAAAAGAUUUAUCGCCGAAGGAUCGGCCCGCGUCUGAUUAGCUAGUUGGUGAGGUAACGGCUCACCAAGGCGACGAUCAGUAGCUGGUCUGAGAGGAUGAUCAGCCUCACUGGGACUGAGACACGGCCCAGACUCCUACGGGAGGCAGCAGUGGGGAAUAUUGGACAAUGGGCGCAAGCCUGAUCCAGCCAUGCCGCGUGGGUGAUGAAGGCCCUAGGG